Molecule: long non-coding RNA, 2152 nt
Filed under: Mytilus galloprovincialis (Mediterranean mussel)
Lineage: Eukaryota; Metazoa; Mollusca; Bivalvia; Mytilida; Mytilidae
Source: RNAcentral
GAACGGGAUUUCAACAAGACUGAAACGUCAGAAGAAUAUGUCUUUAAAACGGUAAGUAUACUAUGAAAUGUUAUUCCAAUGAACAAUUAAGCCCAUGUUAUAUCAUUUGAAAAUUUUACUAAAAUGAGCGCAGCCUAUUUUAAUGUUUAUGUUUGUAAAUUUAUAAAAAUUCAAUCGGCAAAUAUCUGUAUUUUAGGUAAUGACGUACAUACAUUUUUUUAUAUUCAACAAAAAAGGUGACAUGACGCACACAUAUAUGUAAAUAUAAUGGUAUAUUGGUGUUAGUUAUGUAUAUGAUAUUUAUAAUGAUUAGUGUAUUUUUGAACUUUUUUUCUUUAUAAAACAUAUUAAGGUUACGAACUUAAUUUAUCAUACACAAACAUGAUAAACAUAUGAUAAAGGCACACAUAUAAAUAUCCAUGCAUACAUACGUGAUAUACACGUUCACAUCGUUACCUGAUUAAAUGUUACAAAUUAACAGAAAUGUAUGCGUGGCACGUAUGAUAUUAAAGUUAAAUAACUAUUUUCUUCACCUUUAACUAGUUUUAAGCCUAUUGAUUGAACAAUAGGAUAUCAGUUUUUUUUCUUUCAAAAUACAGCUUAUCUUAAUAAAUGUCUUUUAUAUAGUUCUACUAUAUCUGUCUAUUUUUGAAACGUUUUACUGUAUCUAUUUGGUUACCUUUAUCAUUUGAUACAUAGUGUGCAUAUUUAAGUGUAAAAACACAUGUGGACCAGUAAGGGAUUAAGCUUAAGUGACUGUCUUUGUUUCAAUAAAAAAACAAGUAAACGUGAAAUUUCCAGUUAAAGAAAACCCUCUAAUAAACUGAUAUUUUUCCGUAUGAAGUUACCUUUGCAUCGAGACUUCUCGUUUGAACAUCGACUACUGCACCGCUAACUUGCGAGAGAAAAGAUAACAAUUGAAGAAUUAUAUACCGUAUACAUCAAUGUCAUGAUCCGGUAAACAUUGUAAACUUUGACAACAAACUCGAAAAUAAAAUCUUGCGAUCAACUAUCACUUUAUAAAAUGUUACUUACUGAUAAUACGUUAUAGAUUCGUAAUAAAUAUUAAACAAAAAAUACAAAAAGGACGAAAUUUAGUAUAAUAUAUAUGCAUCAGUUCAAAUAUUUCCUGUUGAUCUCAUUAUUUAAUAUUGCGUCCAUUCCGAAUUAUUCUAUAUGUUUAUUAUUAAAAGAAUGAAAAAAACUAUUUUUUAAUGCAGAUUAGUUCGUUGUUGAUCAGUUAAUAUACGCAAGAUAUUAAAAAUCAGAAAUGUACAAAUUUUAAAACGUCUUUAUCACAUUUAAUGUUUUUAUUAUAAGUGAUCAUUUCUCAUAUGCUAAAUUUGUAUCAUGGGUUUUUAUAUUUUGUUGCAAAUAUUGUUAAAAGCAAAACACCAAAAACACCAAACAGAUUAUGUUUAUAUGGUAAAAAAAAAUGUUUUCCUAUUUUACUAUAUUUCUAUUAAAGAAAACCCAAAAUAAGAUUCCUGAUAAUGCAUCAAUCAGCUGCAUUCCAAAAUGUGUCGAAAUGUAAAUUUAACAUGAAAGGAACUAAUAAAAUUUUCAUCUUUUACAACCCUAUUGUUUCAGGGUGAAGUGGAGAAAAGUAAAUUGAUACUACAAUUAUAGUGAAUGCGAUAUGGAUACAACAAAACUAGUUGACACAACACUUUUAAUGUGCACAGGGAAUGAGUUGAUAAUAUGUGAGUUUGAUGACAACUACUUUCGUAUUAUUCACUUAAAGGGGUCCGUAUGUGCCACUCUCAAUUUAAUUGCAAAACACGAAUAAUCAAGUGUUUAUGAAUACAAACUUCCUGAAACAUUAAGGGGUCAUGUAUUUUCUAAAAAAAAAAACAGUAUGCAUUGGUUAUAGGUUUCCAGUAUAUGUAUUUCAGUAUCGAGUGGAAUAGAUUAGCGUCACUGAUAUCAUGUUAAUGAUUUUUAACUCAGAAAAUGAAACAUUUCGUUUUGUUGAUUUCGAUGUAUAUAUAUUUGACUGGUUGAUGUAUACUAGCCAUUUAAAGGAACCCUUAGAAUGUAUUAUAUCUCUAAAUUUAGAUAUAUUUCUAUUUAGAUGUCCGAAUGAAGCAGAAUUUAGAGGAAAUUAUAAUUGCUUUUCAAUAUCAGAAAAGCAAUUGAUGACAAUCGGGAC